RNAcentral lists this ribosomal RNA (609 nucleotides) under Trichosporon asahii. Its description in RNAcentral is "eukaryotic LSU rRNA". It matches the Rfam family "Eukaryotic large subunit ribosomal RNA", at positions 52 to 650 of the family's 3401-position model. The record is from RNAcentral. Lineage: Eukaryota; Fungi; Basidiomycota; Tremellomycetes; Trichosporonales; Trichosporonaceae.
GGAGGAAAAGAAACUAACAAGGAUUCCCCUAGUAACGGCGAGUGAAGCGGGAAGAGCUCAAAUUUGAAAUCUGGCAGUCUUCGAUUGUCCGAGUUGUAAUCUAUAGAGGCGUUUUCCGUGCCGGACCGUGUCCAAGUCUCCUGGAAAGGAGUAUCAAAGAGGGUGAUAAUCCCGUACUUAACACGACCACCGGUGCUCUGUGAUACGUCUUCUACGAGUCGAGUUGUUUGGGAAUGCAGCUCAAAAUGGGUGGUGAAUUCCAUCUAAAGCUAAAUAUUGGCGAGAGACCGAUAGCGAACAAGUACCGUGAGGGAAAGAUGAAAAGCACUUUGGAAAGAGAGUUAAACAGUACGUGAAAUUGUUGAAAGGGAAACGAUUGAAGUCAGUCGUGUUCUUUGGAUUCAGCCAGUUCUGCUGGUCUACUUCCUUGGAACGGGUCAACAUCAGUUUUGUCCGGUGGAUAAAGGUAGUAGGAAUGUGACUUCUCCGGAAGUGUUAUAGCCUAUUAUCACAUACACUGGGUGAGACUGAGGACUGCAGCUCGCCUUUAUGGCCGGCCUUCGGGCACGUUCGAGCUUAGGAUGUUGACAUAAUGGCUUUAAACGACCC